CCUACGGGGGGCUGCAGUGGGGAAUAUUGGACAAUGGGCGAAAGCCUGAUCCAGCCAUGCCGCGUGUGUGAAGAAGGCCUUCGGGUUGUAAAGCACUUUCAGUGGGGAAGAAAGCCUUGGGGCUAAUACCCUCGAGGAAGGACAUCACCCACAGAAGAAGCACCGGCUAACUCCGUGCCAGCAGCCGCGGUAAUACGGAGGGUGCGAGCGUUAAUCGGAAUUACUGGGCGUAAAGCGCGCGUAGGCGGUCUGAUAAGCCGGUUGUGAAAGCCCCGGGCUCAACCUGGGAACGGCAUCCGGAACUGUCAGGCUAGAGUGCAGGAGAGGAAGGUAGAAUUCCCGGUGUAGCGGUGAAAUGCGUAGAGAGCGGGAGGAAUACCAGUGGCGAAGGCGGCCUUCUGGACUGACACUGACGCUGAGGUGCGAAAGCGUGGGUAGCAAACAGGAUUAGAUACCCUUGUAGUC
Molecule: ribosomal RNA, 465 nt
Filed under: Vreelandella stevensii
Lineage: Bacteria; Pseudomonadati; Pseudomonadota; Gammaproteobacteria; Oceanospirillales; Halomonadaceae
Description: partial 16S ribosomal RNA
Rfam family: Bacterial small subunit ribosomal RNA
Source: RNAcentral